Molecule: non-coding RNA, 308 nt
Organism: Phascolarctos cinereus (koala)
Lineage: Eukaryota; Metazoa; Chordata; Mammalia; Diprotodontia; Phascolarctidae
Source: RefSeq, a predicted model, not a curated record
AUUACAAAGAACCAGUAUGGCCCCAAAGAAGAUAUGUGAGAAGAUGCUUCCUCCAGUCCUUUACAGAGGUUCAUAGGAGGAGAAGAAAUGAGGAAAAUACAACGUGAAAGAAGAACCAACUUUUAAAGUGUGACAUCAGUAUAUAUAUCAUCAUAACGUCAGGAAAAACCACAGGGGGUGAAAGCCAUGCUCACACACAGCAUGAGGACCAUGUACUGACUGGCACCCUACAGGGGGAGGUAUUGCCCACUUUGAGAACCUAUGGAUAGAGAAAAGUUGAGGAUAGCCUUGAAGAAUGCCAGCAUUUA